Molecule: ribosomal RNA, 405 nt
Filed under: uncultured bacterium
Lineage: Bacteria
Description: bacterial SSU rRNA
Rfam family: Bacterial small subunit ribosomal RNA
Source: RNAcentral
UCGGGAAUAUUGCGCAAUGGAGGAAACUCUGACGCAGUGACGCCGCGUAUAGGAAGAAGGUUUUCGGAUUGUAAACUAUUGUCGUUAGGGAAGAAAAAGGACAGUACCUAAGGAGGAAGCUCCGGCAAACUACGUGCCAGCAGCCGCGGUAAUACGUAGGGAGCGAGCGUUAUCCGGAUUUAUUGGGUGUAAAGGGUGCGUAGACGGGCUAACAAGUUGGUUGUGAAAUCCCUCGGCUUAACUGAGGAACUGCAACCAAAACCGUAAGUCUUGAGUGCAGGAGAGGUAAGUGGAAUUCCUAGUGUAGCGGUGAAAUGCGUAGAUAUUAGGAGGAACACCAGUGGCGAAGGCGACUUACUGGACUGUAACUGACGUUGAGGCACGAAAGUGUGGGGAGCAAACAGG